RNAcentral lists this ribosomal RNA (896 nucleotides) under uncultured bacterium. Its description in RNAcentral is "bacterial SSU rRNA". It matches the Rfam family "Bacterial small subunit ribosomal RNA", at positions 9 to 916 of the family's 1533-position model. The record is from RNAcentral.
GAGUUUGAUCCUGGCUCAGGAUGAACGCUGGCGGCGUGCCUAACACAUGCAAGUCGAACGGACUCGGAUUGAAACCUAGUGAUUUCCGAGUUAGUGGCGGACGGGUGAGUAACGCGUGGAUAACCUGCCGUAUGCAGGGGGAUAACAGUUGGAAACAGCUGCUAAUACCGCAUAAGCGCACAAUACCGCAUGGUACUGUGUGAAAAGAUUUAUCGGCAUACGAUGGAUCCGCGUCCGAUUAGCCAGUUGGCGGGGUAACGGCCCACCAAAGCGACGAUCGGUAGCCGGCCUGAGAGGGUGGACGGCCACAUUGGGACUGAGACACGGCCCAAACUCCUACGGGAGGCAGCAGUGGGGAAUAUUGCACAAUGGGGGAAACCCUGAUGCAGCGACGCCGCGUGAGUGAAGAAGUAUCUCGGUAUGUAAAGCUCUAUCAGCAGGGAAGAAAAUGACGGUACCUGACUAAGAAGCCCCGGCUAACUACGUGCCAGCAGCCGCGGUAAUACGUAGGGGGCAAGCGUUAUCCGGAUUUACUGGGUGUAAAGGGAGCGUAGACGGCGCUGCAAGUCCGGAGUGAAAGCCCAUGGCUUAACCAUGGUACUGCUCUGGAAACUGUGGAGCUUGAGUGCGGGAGGGGCAGGCGGAAUUCCUAGUGUAGCGGUGAAAUGCGUAGAUAUUAGGAGGAACACCGGCGGCGAAGGCGGCCUGCUGGACCGUAACUGACGUUGAGGCUCGAAAGCGUGGGGAGCAAACAGGAUUAGAUACCCUGGUAGUCCACGCCGUAAACGAUGAUUACCAGGUGUCGCGGUACGAAGUACUGCGGUGCCGGCGCAAACGCAAUAAGUAAUCCACCUGGGGAGUACGUUCGCAAGAAUGAAACUCAAAGGAAUUGACGG